This 393-nucleotide ribosomal RNA is filed under the name uncultured bacterium. Its description in RNAcentral is "partial 16S ribosomal RNA". It matches the Rfam family "Bacterial small subunit ribosomal RNA", at positions 523 to 918 of the family's 1533-position model. The record is from RNAcentral.
AUACGGAGGAUCCGAGCGUUAUCCGGAUUUAUUGGGUUUAAAGGGAGCGUAGGUGGACAGUUAAGUCAGUUGUGAAAGUUUGCGGCUCAACCGUAAAAUUGCAGUUGAUACUGGCUGUCUUGAGUACAGUAGAGGUGGGCGGAAUUCGUGGUGUAGCGGUGAAAUGCUUAGAUAUCACGAAGAACUCCGAUUGCGAAGGCAGCUCACUGGACUGCAACUGACACUGAUGCUCGAAAGUGUGGGUAUCAAACAGGAUUAGAUACCCUGGUAGUCCACACAGUAAACGAUGAAUACUCGCUGUUUGCGAUAUACAGUAAGCGGCCAAGCGAAAGCAUUAAGUCAUCCACCUGGGGAGUACGACCGCAAGGUUGAAACUUAAAGGAAUUGACGGGG